GUUGGACUCGGCACCGCUGGCCUCUUCCAUGCUGGAAUGAUUGUGUGACCUUGAACUCAGCCUUUGUGUGUGCCCACAAGCCUGCUCUGAGGACAGGGCCACCUUCCCUGCAGGGCCCUGGCUGCUGCCCUCAAACCCCUCUGGUUACACCUCUCCUCCCCACCUGCACCAUCACCUCCUGAGCCAGGAGGACCCUCUCCCCUGACCCACCAGAUGGUGGACGUGCGUGUGUCUGUGUCGCUCUCCAGCUUGUUCCCCUGAGGAUGCCAAAUCUCAGGUGGAACCUUUACUCUGAAGACUGCUUUGCUGAGUGAGCUCAGUCCUGGCGUCCAGGAGACAGCGCCCCUCUGGGUGCCCCAGGCUCUCCUCCUUCUUCCAGUGCGGCCAUCCCACAGAGCAUUGCUGCCUGACAGCUGUGGUCCUGGGACCUUCUGCUGAGCUCACUCGCUGGCCUGCUCUGGUAGGUCAUUAGCCAGGAACCACCUCCUCUGACCCUCACUAUGUGUGCGAACAUGAAUAAGCAAGUCGUGGUUCUGACGUGAUCAUUUCACACACAAGAGAGUCACGGCCCAGAGACUGGUCUGUGCCUGCUCGCCCUCCAGCUCCCCAUCGAAACCCACCUACGGUCCAGUGCUGUCUCCCGUCACCAACUGCAAGCCAGGCCACUGUGCACACCGGACCCCUGGGCCCGUCACACUAACACCACGCACCACACAGACACCAACGCCACAAUGACACCAGGUUGAUGCCACGCUUAUGCCACAAUAAAGUCACACUAACACCAUACACCAUACAAUCCAUCCAAUGCCAUGUUAAUAUCACACACCAUGCCAACAAGACACUAAUGUCAGGCCGACGCCAUUCACCAUGCUAACAGCACGCUGACCACACUGGAGUGCCAGGCUAAUGCCCCCAGCGGGCACCCAGCCUCUGCAGACUUUCAGGAGCACCCAGGGCAGGCGCCCACAUGCCACACCUUACUCCAGCGUGAACUGAACCUGAACCUUAUUGGCACAAAUCAACAGGGGCUGAGAGGAGCCACGGAGGGUGGCAUCAGGAGUUGAGCUCCCACACGGGUCCUGACACCCUCUCAGUGGGAGGCAGUUGGGCAUGAAGUCCUAGAGUCUCCAGAGCAUGUCCCCAGUGCCCCAAGAUACUCCUACCAGCGGCCACACUCUUCAACAGAACUCAGCAAAAGGAGCACAGCUACAGUCCCACAGAGCAGACACCUCGACAGACUCCGAAAGCUUCAAGCCUUCAUGACAGAUGUGCUGGGUCCCAUGACAGAAGCGCUCCAGCAGAGAGCAACAGCCACGCUGUCACGCCCCGUCACCCGAGCCACCCGCUGACUGGACCUCUCCAGUGUCUCCACACCCGUCACAGCUUCCUCACCACUUCUUUAUUUAAAAUGCAAGUCCUUCAGGCCACUUCCACCAGAAGGCGGACGGUCCACCCUGCAGAGAGCCCUCGCAUACACAGGCCACGUCCCGGUGCACUGGGCGGCAGAGAUGUUCUGCUCCUUAACCAUGAGACGGUACAUAUAGGGCAUCAUGGUGCAGGCCGACCCAGCCCAGCACAGGUACAAACAGGACCUGCACGUCUGUUCUGAAGGCUGAGGCAGGAGGAUCGUGAGUUCAAAGCUAGCCUCAGCAACUUAGUGAGGCCCUAAGCACUCUGUGAGAC
RNAcentral lists this long non-coding RNA (1683 nucleotides) under Marmota monax (woodchuck). The record is from RNAcentral. Lineage: Eukaryota; Metazoa; Chordata; Mammalia; Rodentia; Sciuridae.